AAAGUUCCAGCAACCGGGGGAGAUACCAUGAUCACAAAGGUGGUUUUUCCAGGGCGAGGCUUAUCCGUUGCUCUCCAGAUGUGCUGACCCCUGCGAUUUCCCCAAAUGUAGGAAACUCGACUGCAUAAUUUGUGGUAGUGGGGGGACUGCGUUUGUGUUCUCCAU
This 165-nucleotide small nuclear RNA is filed under the name Neotoma lepida (desert woodrat). Its description in RNAcentral is "U1 spliceosomal RNA". It matches the Rfam family "U1 spliceosomal RNA". Rfam says of the family: U1 is a small nuclear RNA (snRNA) component of the spliceosome (involved in pre-mRNA splicing). Its 5' end forms complementary base pairs with the 5' splice junction, thus defining the 5' donor site of an intron. Lineage: Eukaryota; Metazoa; Chordata; Mammalia; Rodentia; Cricetidae. The record is from Rfam by way of RNAcentral.